ACGGGAGGCAGCAGUAGGGAAUCUUGCACAAUGGGCGAAAGCCUGAUGCAGCAACGCCGCGUGAAGGAUGAAGGCCUUCGGGUUGUAAACUUCUGUUCUUGGGAAAGAAACAAAUGACGGUACCCAAGGAGUAAGCCCCGGCUAACUACGUGCCAGCAGCCGCGGUAAUACGUAGGGGGCAAGCGUUAUCCGGAAUUAUUGGGCGUAAAGAGUGCGUAGGUGGUUACCUAAGCGCAAGGUUUAAACUAUCGGCUUAACUGAUAAUUGCCUUGCGAACUGGGUUACUUGAGUGCAGGAGGGGAAAGCGGAAUUCCUAGUGUAGCGGUGAAAUGCGUAGAUAUUAGGAGGAACACCAGCGGCGAAGGCGGCUUUCUGGACUGUAACUGACACUGAGGCACGAAAGCGUGGGGAGCAAACAGGAUUAGAUACCCUGGUA
This 436-nucleotide ribosomal RNA is filed under the name uncultured Mogibacterium sp. Its description in RNAcentral is "partial 16S ribosomal RNA". It matches the Rfam family "Bacterial small subunit ribosomal RNA", at positions 341 to 792 of the family's 1533-position model. The record is from RNAcentral. Lineage: Bacteria; Bacillati; Bacillota; Clostridia; Peptostreptococcales; Anaerovoracaceae.